Salvelinus sp. IW2-2015 is the source of this 253-nucleotide long non-coding RNA. RefSeq lists it as uncharacterized. Lineage: Eukaryota; Metazoa; Chordata; Actinopteri; Salmoniformes; Salmonidae. The record is from RefSeq and is a predicted model, not a curated record.
GUAGAGGUGGUCUUACAUGUUGUAGCUGUAGGGACUGGGGUGGGGUAGAGGUGGUCUACAUGUUGUAGCUGUAGGGAGGCUGGGUGGGGUAGAGGUGGUCUACAUGUUGUAGGGAGGCUGGGUGGGGUAGAGGUGGUCUACAUGUUGUAGGGAGGCUGGGUGGGGUAGAGGUGGUCUACAUGUUGUAGCUGUAGGGGGCUGGGUGGGGUAGAGGUGGUCUACAUGUUGUAGCUGUAGGGAGGCUGGUGGGGUA